Molecule: unclassified non-coding RNA, 348 nt
Filed under: soil metagenome
Description: partial contains 5.8S ribosomal RNA, internal transcribed spacer 2, and large subunit ribosomal RNA
Rfam family: 5.8S ribosomal RNA (bases 1-120)
Source: RNAcentral
GAUGAAGAACGCAGCAAAAUGCGAUAAGUAAUGUGAAUUGCAGAAUUCAGUGAAUCAUCGAAUCUUUGAACGCACAUUGCGCCCGCUGGUAUUCCGGCGGGCAUGCCUGUUCGAGCGUCAUUUCAACCCUCAAGCCCCCGGGUUUGGUGUUGGGGAUCGGCUCUGCCCUUCUGGGCGGUGCCGCCCCCGAAAUACAUUGGCGGUCUCGCUGCAGCCCCCAUUGCGUAGUAGCUAACACCUCGCAACUGGAACGCGGCGCGGCCAUGCCGUAAAACCCCAACUUCUGAAUGUUGACCUCGGAUCAGGUAGGAAUACCCGCUGAACUUAAGCAUAUCAAUAAGCGGAGGA